RNAcentral lists this ribosomal RNA (303 nucleotides) under uncultured bacterium. RNAcentral's name for it is "partial 16S ribosomal RNA". It matches the Rfam family "Bacterial small subunit ribosomal RNA", at positions 507 to 807 of the family's 1533-position model. The record is from RNAcentral.
AGCAGUCGCCGCGGGAAUACGAAGGGUGCAAGCGUUAAUCGGAAUUACUGGGCGUAAAGCGUGCGUAGGCGGUUUGUUAAGUCUGUUGUGAAAUCCCCGGGCUCAACCUGGGAAUGGCAAUGGAUACUGGCGAGCUAGAGUGUGUCAGAGGAUGGUGGAAUUCCCGGUGUAGCGGUGAAAUGCGUAGAGAUCGGGAGGAACAUCAGUGGCGAAGGCGGCCAUCUGGGACAACACUGACGCUGAGGCACGAAAGCGUGGGGAGCAAACAGGAUUAGAUACCCCAGUAGUCCCUGUCUCUUAUAC